This is a non-coding RNA of Potamilus streckersoni, 68 nucleotides long. The record is from the annotation of a GenBank genome assembly. Lineage: Eukaryota; Metazoa; Mollusca; Bivalvia; Unionida; Unionidae.
GAUGGCCUAGCGGUUAGAACGUCCGCCUCGGAUGUGGGAGAUCGUGGGUUCGAUCCCCGGCUGAAUCA